UUGUCCCUGCGGUGUUCGUGACUUGGCCAUACAUUCCUUGAACCAAUGCUAAUGGCAUAGGUUGCCGGAUUGGCCGGUGGGCGUGAUCUCUUCCUCGUGUAGAGAACCCGAAGCCGUCCUGAUGGCGACCACUCUUGAACCUCCGGUUCAGGAUGCCGGCCUAGACGGCACUUGCGGGGCACCU
Molecule: non-coding RNA, 184 nt
Filed under: Burkholderiaceae bacterium
Lineage: Bacteria; Pseudomonadati; Pseudomonadota; Betaproteobacteria; Burkholderiales; Burkholderiaceae
Also listed under: 2 other names
Description: 6S RNA
Rfam family: 6S / SsrS RNA
About the family: E. coli 6S RNA was the first non coding RNA to be sequenced, but its function was unknown until recently. It consists of 184 nucleotides that fold into an extended hairpin structure with a large single-stranded internal bulge. The 6S RNA specifically associates with RNA polymerase holoenzyme containing the sigma70 specificity factor.
Source: RNAcentral